AAGUCGUAACAAGGUUUCCGUAGGUGAACCUGCGGAAGGAUCAUUAUCGAAUCUUCUGAGGGUUGUUGCUGGGUUCCUCCUAAAGGGGGUUCCAACGUGCACGCCCUCGUCCAUUCUUAAACCCCUGUGCACUUAUUGUAGGCUUGGUGGCAGAGCUGACUUUGGUUGGUUCGAAAGUCUCGCCUAUGUUUUAACACACGCUUCAGUCUAUGAAUGUCAUUUUGCGGAUAACGCAUUAAAUACAACUUUCAACAACGGAUCUCUUGGCUCUC
Molecule: unclassified non-coding RNA, 272 nt
Filed under: Mycoacia nothofagi
Lineage: Eukaryota; Fungi; Basidiomycota; Agaricomycetes; Polyporales; Meruliaceae
Description: partial internal transcribed spacer region
Rfam family: Eukaryotic small subunit ribosomal RNA (bases 1-46)
Source: RNAcentral